UACGGAAGGGGCAAGCGUUGUUCGGAAUCAUUGGGCGUAAAGAGCGCGUAGGUGGUUCUGUAUGUCUACCGUGAAAGCGUACGGCUCAACCGUAUUUUGUCGGUAGAAACUGCAGGACUUGAGGCUGGGAGGGGCUGGUGGAAUUCCCUGUGUAGCGGUGAAAUGCGUAGAGAUGGGGGAGAACACUCGUGGCGAAGGCGGCCAGCUAGACCAGUUCUGACACUGAGGCGCGACAGCGUGGGGAGCAAACAGG
RNAcentral lists this ribosomal RNA (253 nucleotides) under uncultured bacterium. Its description in RNAcentral is "partial 16S ribosomal RNA". It matches the Rfam family "Bacterial small subunit ribosomal RNA", at positions 524 to 776 of the family's 1533-position model. The record is from RNAcentral.